GCUCCCGUAGCUCAGUUGCAUAGAGCGUUCGCCUCCUAAGCGAAAGGUCGCGCGUUGGAAUCGCGCCGGGAGCA
Molecule: transfer RNA, 74 nt
Filed under: Acidobacteriota bacterium
Lineage: Bacteria; Pseudomonadati; Acidobacteriota
Also listed under: 1 other name
Description: Acidobacteria bacterium tRNA-Arg
Rfam family: tRNA
About the family: Transfer RNA (tRNA) molecules are approximately 80 nucleotides in length.
Source: RNAcentral